Long non-coding RNA from Raphanus sativus (radish), 1761 nucleotides. RefSeq lists it as uncharacterized. The record is from RefSeq and is a predicted model, not a curated record. Lineage: Eukaryota; Viridiplantae; Streptophyta; Magnoliopsida; Brassicales; Brassicaceae. The transcript is spliced from 2 exons.
UCGAACCAAACCAUUCCAAAGGUUUAUCUUUUAGUGGUUUAUUAUAAAUCGUGUAUGCAUAUAUACGUUAAUAUGUAUCUCCUCCUAAAAACCUAAAGUUAUUUGCCGUCAGUAGAGAUUAAGCCUUCUCUAAGCCAUCUUCUUCUCCAUCACCAGCCACCAUCAGCCACCAUGAAAGAGGAGCCAACACACAUUUUGAAUAGAGAGAUUAAAGCUCAUCAGACAUGUUUUGGAAGAGCAGAGGAACUAUCAAUCAAACCUGAGUAUUUCGAAGCCAAAUUUUGAGGUUAUGUUCUACACUCAUAGAUAUAUGUUUAUCAGAAAGCGGAUCAUCAUUUGGAUUUUUCAUCUAAUAGUUAUGGUCAUUUCUUUGGGGCUGCUCGUUGUAGAUCGGAUCCGCCGAUAAGUCAACUUCAUCAGUGUUUUCCCGUUGAUCUAGAAGGAACCAGCAAACGAGAGAGAUAUCAAUCGAAAGAUCUCGUUGUCAGCUUUCCAGAUCAUCUUCCCGAUCGUAAAACCAAGGCACGGUUGGAAAGUUAUCGACGUUGCUUCUUGGCCAAGGAUAGCUGAAGCUUAGUGAUGCAGAUACAGUUCCGACUAGUCUCAGCGUAAAGGCCAAACGGCCGACAUAAAUGAAAGCUUUCAAUCUGGAAAUUUGUCAUAUUACUGCAGUUUUCAUUUGCGACCAGCCUGGAUCUGAAGCUAUUUUAGUUAAUCAAAUGGUGUCCGAUCGGAGUAAAAUCGGUGUCUAUGGACAGAGGAUAUCUAGGACUAUAUUCUGACCGGAGGGAUUGAAAAGUUAACGGUCAGUUAUUGAGAUAUUCACAUGUUUCCUCUAUGGUUCAGCUCUGCCAGAAUCAUUAUAUUCAUUUAUUUUCAGAGAGUUUCGAAGUUGCUGUUUUAGAACCAUCAAAGUCCAUUAUGUAUUUCUCAGGUUUCUUCAGAACCCAUGGCAAAGGUGAGGGUCUACUCCAUAAAUUCCGUACCAGUGUAGAAUUCCUUCUAUGAUAGGUUUAGACUUCGAAACAUGAAAUGUGUCUGCUUGAAUCUUUGCUUGGUAGUUAGUUUAUUUAUUGCAAACCGGAAUUAGGGGUCUAGAGGAUUCAACCAUUGAUUGGAUUGUGUGAUGAUGAGAUAUGAGAUAUAUAUAUGUAUAUACAUAGUUAUAGUAGGGACUAUGUGCGAGGGCGGGGGUUCAGGGAUGCCUGGACUAGCGACGCCACUGUGGAGGGGCGGGGGCUCAGAGAUGUCUGGGCUAGUGACGCAAUUUGUGUGGUGCGUGGUGCAGAGACGUUUGCAUCUGACGCAGCGAUCGAGGACGGGGGUACAUAGACAGACUGUACUAGUGGCGCCACGUAUGUAUAUCCAUAUGCGGAGAUGCGGGGUGUGUGGUAUAUCUAUGCACUAUCAGCGCAGUGUUUGUUGUGUGUGAUGCUUUAGGCGUCUUGCUUGUUCAUGUUAGAGCUAAACUUCCAUAGCGGGAGUUCUGUUUACUCAAGUCAGUGGUUUGUGGAUUAGCAUCCCAUACCUCACUGAGUGACUCCCCUGUUACUCACUCUCUUUUUCCCCCUUUCAGGUGAGGUAGCCGAGCAGGAGUGAUUACUUUCGGAUUGGUGCUUUGGGAGUUUUAUUCUUAUUUUCAGAUUUCGGUUUUAUGCUUUUAUCGAUAUUUUCCGGGAUUUAUUUUAUUUAUGCUAUUAUUGGAUUAUGGUAUUGAAUUUGACUUUUAAGAAUUAAUAAAUGGAGACUUUUAUGAGAUUA